GGAUUUGUCCUGGCCUCACUUCACGUGCUUAUAGGCCCCUGCUAAGUGGCGGGCAGUCUCCAGGACAUUAAGGACACAGUGGUGAAAGACACUAGCCCAAUCUAUAGAGAACUUCGAGACGGAAAUAGACAGACAGCUCCAACAAGGCAAAGGAACCCAUCUUCUACUUUGGUGAUGUGGAAUACUCUGUGGAUGAGAGUGCCGGCUAUGUGGAAGUGCAGGUGUGGAGAACGGGCACUGACCUGUCCAAGUCUUCUAGUGUCACAGUGAGGUCUCGGAAAACGGAUCCUCCCUCUGCAGAUGCUGGAACAGACUAUGUGGGCAUCAGCCGUAAUUUAGAUUUUGCACCUGGAGUCAACAUGCAGCCUGUUCGUGUUGUCAUUCUGGAUGACCUUGGACAACCAGUGCUGGAGGGAAUUGAGAAAUUUGAACUGGUGCUUCGCAUGCCUAUGAACGCAGCCCUUGGCGAGCCCAGCAAAGCCACAGUGUCCAUAAAUGACUCUGUCUCCGAUUUGCCUAAGAUGCAAUUCAAAGAACGAAUAUAUACUGGCAGCGAAAGUGAUGGGCAGAUAGUUACAAUGAUCCAUAGGAGCGGGGAUGUCCAGUACAGAUCUUCAGUGAGAUGCUACACCCGGCAGGGGUCUGCACAGGUGAUGAUGGACUUUGAAGAACGCCCAAACACUGAUACCUCCAUCAUCACAUUCCUCCCUG
RNAcentral lists this small RNA (711 nucleotides) under Pan troglodytes (chimpanzee). Its description in RNAcentral is "processed transcript". The record is from RNAcentral. Lineage: Eukaryota; Metazoa; Chordata; Mammalia; Primates; Hominidae.